UACGGGGGGAGCGAGCGUUGUUCGGAUUCACUGGGCGUAAAGGGCGUGUAGGUGGGUUUUCAAGUCAUAUGUGAAAACCGUCGGCUUAACCGACGGCCUGCAUCUGAAACUGGAGAUCUUGAGUACGGGAGAGGAAAGCGGAAUUCCUGGUGUAGCGGUGAAAUGCGUAGAUAUCAGGAGGAACACCGGUGGCGAAGGCGGCUUUCUGGCCCGAUACUGACGCUAAGGCGCGAAGGCCGGGGGAG
This 245-nucleotide ribosomal RNA is filed under the name uncultured bacterium. RNAcentral's name for it is "partial 16S ribosomal RNA". It matches the Rfam family "Bacterial small subunit ribosomal RNA", at positions 524 to 768 of the family's 1533-position model. The record is from RNAcentral.